UAUUCAAGUUUAUUUAUUUAUUUUCAUUCAUUAUACAAUUCUGACAUUGCUGUACAAUGUUGUAGAUGAAAAUUUACAUAAAAGCAUUGAAAAUAUUUGUGUAUGUAUAUCGUUUUGAGGCACGAGACCCAAAUAAAAUGAAUCUUGUAUCUGCGUUAGAAAAAAUUCUGAAUCAGAUAUUUGUUCUCAUGUCAGCACAUGCGCAAAGAUCACAACUUGAAAAAUCCAUUAGGAUUACGCGUAAAAAACGUAAAAAAAUAAAUUAAAUAAAUAUCGAAAUUUUUAGUAAGGUAAAUCAAUUAUGUUUUCCUGUAAAAAUACAUAAUAUUAAAUGUUUUUGUAAAAUACGUUAGUCUUUUACACAAUAUUCAUGGUGUACAGUCAAUUUGUGUUUUCAAUUCUUUUACGUAAAUUUUUACCCACAACAUUAUACAGCAAUGUCAGAAUUUUAUUAUGAAUAAAAAUAAAUAAAUAAACUUGAAUAAAUAUGCAAACUUUCUGAUUAUUACAUUUCAUGUAACAAAUAACAUCAUGUUAUUACGUUUCAUGUAACAAAUAACAUAUAACAAUUAAUAUUUUGCUAUUAGAGAUUGCUAAAAAAUUAAUUACAAUUAUAAAUGUAGCUAUUAUAGAAAAAAAAAAGAAUUGGCACUGCGAGUUUUUAAACACCUCUCUUCAUGCGGUCGCCAAGGACAAAAUAAAAAGCGCGUGCUUUAGUCUCUUCAGCCACUGCACUUCAUACUUUAACCUCCUUUAUCGGGUCAAAAAAAUCGAUAUUUUGGAAAUAGUCUUAAUCAAUUGUUACACUAUUCAAGAAUAUUCCCUGAAAAUUUCAAGUUGAUAUCUGCAGUAUUUACAAAGUUACGAAGUUAAAGCGGACGGGUCGGGUGACGAGUUCAGACGGGCCUAGCGACCCUCGGGGGGUCGCAUUUAUACCUACGUUCUCAGAGCGUGUUUAUACUACGUUCGAAAAGUCUUUUGGAAAGGUGUUUAGGCGGUCACACACAGAAUGCAAAUGAAAGUUUUAAUUCUACCAUUUGGCGUUUAUUACCUAAACACAUUCACAGUGGAAAAAAAAUCGUCUGCAUUGCUGCAUCGAUAUUUAACGAAGGCUACAAUGCAGUGUUAAUGAACAAGUUGGAUAUCGAAAUUGGGAUCCAGGCACACAAUUUUGCCAUAACAAAGGACGAGAAGCGAAUAAACAGACAGAACCGCCAAAGCUAUAGCAGCUCAAAAGAGGCAAGAACGGCUCGUAGGAUGGAGAUGAUGGCUCAAAAUGAGUUCUACGAGGAAGCGGAGGGGCUACUUUAUGCAACUGGAAUCGCUGAUUAGCGUGAGACUGCUAUCAAAGUGAAGGACGCUACAAUGUAUACAGCGGAAACACUCCAUAAUCGAAGCGAUAUUAAUAUGGCGUUUGUUUUACUUAUAGUAAAUAUCUUUUUUUUUCUUUUAAAAAAAUUCCUGUGUACUCUUCGAUUGUGUAUUAGAAUGUCAUAAAAAUUUCAAAACGUUUCAAGUUAUUAUAUCCGAGAAAAAAAUUCGUGAAUAUCAUGUAUUUUUCGACCGUGUAAAGAAGAUUUCACCCUUAACCUACCGCGCAAUUGUACUUAACGUACCGCGCAGCAAAUGCCAAACUUUACAUGCAAAUUUCUCUGAAACAAAGGCCCAUGCACUCAAACGCUCUGACACUUUUUAUACCCUCGACCCCCCUUCCCCCUUCGAAAAAAUUAUGGCUCAUCUGAUUUCGUAUUUUUUAAUUCAUAGCACCUCCUUCUUAGUUUACACCGAACAUUUAAUUCAUAUUAAAUUUGUUAUUUGCUACACUAAGCUGGAUUCGUUGGUUAAACGUCUACGAAGUUCAAUUCAGGUUUACGUUAAAGUUAAAAGAUUUAUGUCCGUGCGUGCUUCCUAUAAUCCGCGAAGACACUGAGACUUUAUUAAUCAAAAUACUGGAAGAUUCUGCACAAGCAGACACUGGCCUAAUUUACACCGUUAAAUCGAUUGGUACGCGCAUCAAGUUUGUGUAGAUUAAGCAUUUGAUACACUCUAUUUAUACCAAUCCAUCUUAAAAUAGAUUAGAUUAGUUUUUUAAUCCAGAUUAGAUUAGAUUUUUAAUCCAAAUAAGUUCUUGUUGAUUUUAGAGUGUAAUGGUAUGUAAAUGUUCAACGAUUUAUGAUUAGACAUACGUUCGUGUUUUACUAUUAUAUCUUUGUCUAUCUACUGUCCAAUUCGUACCCUUUUUAUGUGACAAUUUUGUUUUUGAGAUAUGAAUCUUCUAACUUCAACAUGAACGUGAACUGAACUAUCGUAUGUAUUCAACCGGUGAAUCCAACUUACAAGGAAAGCGACAGAGGUAUCCUCAUCCAAUUUUGACGAGCUUUUAAUAUGUUGUAGUACAGAUAAAAAUAAAGGACACGUAUUUUUUUAUACAUGCCCGUUUUCACUUUUAGGGGAUAAACACCCUUUUAAAGAAAAUCGGUUUUUUUUUUUAAGCGUAUAUCUUCGAAACUAUAAGGGUUGGAUUACAAUAACUGUAACCGUAAUAAAUUGGUCAAUCAUAGUCGAUUUAUAGAAAAAUAUUCGACUGUGAUUGGUUAAUUUUUUUGGUAACAGUUUGUUUCAUCCCCUAAAAGUGAAAACGAGCACGUAUAAAAAAAUACGUGUUCUUUAUUUUUAUCCAUACUACAACAUAUUAAAAGCUCAUCAAAAUCGGAGAGAGACACCUCUGCCGCUUUUGUUGUUAGUGCAGCAAAUAACGAAUUUAAAACAAAACAAGUGUGUACAGCAAAGAUUUUUUCAUACGUGUGAUGGUCUGAUACUCGUUGAAUAAUGAAAGAAAAGUAAAUUCUAAGUAUACGAAGAUGUCACAGAUUCGGUAAAGAGUUUGUUUGCGAAAAAAAUAAUAUGCUAUGUAAUUAUUAGGACCUUAACUUAGUUUCUGCCCGCAAAUGUUAGAUGACGAUGUAAUCAGUUCUAGCAGUCAUUACUAAUGCAUGUAGUACUUUUUUCUUAGUUUUGACAUUUUUUGAUAACAUUCAGUCAGCAUACACAAUUAUUUGCGUAAACAACAAUUUUUUUGCUUUAAAAAAUGGAAUGCGAUAAAGUGUUUUUUUGACAUGUGCUUUUGUACUACUUUGAUUUUAAAAAAAGUGUAGCAGAAAUUCAUCGAUUACUUCAAGAAGAUUAUGGUGAUUAUCUUCAUCGCAUACAACAUGUAAAGAGUGGUAUAGAUAAUUCAAAAGUAAUGAUUUUGAUGUCAAUGACAAACCACGCUCAGCCAAAAAAAUUUGAAUUGCUAACAUUAUUGCAUGAAAACUCAGCUCGAACGUUAGAAGAACUUGAAAACGAGCUAGGAGUUACUAAAGCAGCUGUUUCCAAACGUUUAUACGCCAUGGAAAAGAUCCAAAAGGAAGGAAAAUGGGUACCACAUGAAUUGUCUGAAAGUGCCAUUCACAACCGUUUCAGUAUCACGGUUUCCUUGCUUUCCAGGCAAAAAAGAAGAGUUUUUUGUGGCGUAUUGUGAUUGGCGAUAAAAAGUAGAUCUACUACGACAAUCCCAAGUGGAAGAAAUCAUAGGUAGAUCCAGGACAGGACGGGAUCCGAUAGCGCACGGUGCGAUAGCCCACCAACCAAUCAUCUUGACUUAUUUGACCCAACCAAUGAAAAAAUUUUAGGCAUCUGCCGCUGUGAGUGGUGGUGUGCUAUUGGGAUCCCCUCCCCCCCAGAACAACCAUCAACAUCGCAGCCAAAACGGAACAUUCACAGUUAUAAGGUAAUGCUUUGCAUUUAGUGGGAUCAACAAGGAGUGCUGUACUAUAAGCUGCUGAAUCCGAACGAAACUGUUACUGCCAAUGUCUAUAAACAUCAAUUGAACAAAUUGAAUGAUGAGUUGUUGCGAAAAAAGCCAGCAACAGCGAGUAACAGGCGCAAAGUUAUUCUCUUUCGCGAUAAUGCUCGGCCACACACUGGAAAAAUCAUCAACAAAACACUGACGCAGUUCAAAUGGGAAACUCUUCCUCACUCAACGUACUCAUCAGACAUAGUCUUCUGAUUAUCAUUUGUUCAGAUCGAUGCAGCACGGCUUGAGUGGUAUAUGCUUUUUUCCAACAAAUGCUUUUUCUCAGCCUUUUUUGGACGAAAACUAAGUCAAGGUUCUAAUACUUACAGUUACUUGUUUAUAGUUUAUAUUAAUCGAUACUGAGACAGGCCAAAUUAAAUAAGUCUAUGCGUUUGUCAUUUAAAGAUUGCAUUUUAUCAUUAGUUUACAAUUGCGAAUAAUAUGUAUAAUUGUUAGCAAUAAGAACUGACUAUGCUUUCGAGCUUUUAAUGAUUUAUUUUAUAUCAAUUUUUUAAAACCAAUUAUUUUUUUUAACAUUGCCCAUUCCUAAUCACAAUGAUCCCUAAUCAUAAAUAUAAUGAUUAUGCAGAAAACAGUAUGUAUAUAUUAACUUUUAUUCAAUGACCCCAGCAAAUGAGAAAUAAUUAGAUUGAAUAAAUCCGUAUGAAUCAAGUUUUUGAAACGCCGAAAAAGGUAUUGAAUUUCAUAAAAACUAAACACAUUGAAUCCGUUUCCCACACCUUUAUAGAAAUAAACUAUUAGAUAACUAUUAAUAAAACUAUUCCUUGUCGUAGCUUUUUCGCGAAUUAUUGGCAAGAAUUAUUAGUUUAAUAGCAAAACUAUUCCAGAUAACUAUUGGAUUUAACUAUUGAAGGAAGGAUUAUUUGAGCUCAAUAUUCACUACAUCAUUACAAAGUGACUAUUGUAGUGAUUAUUGGGCUCAAAAAUUUACAUACAUAUGUAUGUUAUUUUACAUAUUAAAAUUUAUUUUUGACUUAUUUUAUAUAGGUUUGCAUAGAAAUAUUUUUUGUAUAUCUUAUAAUAUUAUAUAUUUUAUUAAAAAAUUCUGUAAAAAGUAAAAUAUAGAAAAAAGUAUAUAAUAUGUCAACCAAUUAUUUAGUGUUAUUACUUUGCGUGCUUUAUUAAUAAAAUUACUAUUAUUAUUUUAGGCUGUAUAGUAACAAUUAGAUUUUUUUAUUGGGGAAGGGGGGGCUGAUUGGCUCUUGAGGUUCUGGUUCUUGGCCUGUUAUAAGAGGCCGGUUUUACUAGGCGGCUGUCUCCUCGGUUGCUACCGAUUUCGUAUCCUGGGCUGUCGUCAAUUUUCCUUUCCCGCAGUCACUCGACCUAGUAAAUGGUAAGUCAUGUGCGGGACCCUGGUUCUUGUUGCUGGAUCUUGGUGCUGGUGACUGUGGAUAUUGCGUCCCCCGUGUGACUCGAGCAGGGUACGUCUGAGUUGCCUGCGUUGUAUGAGUAGGCUUUCUUGGUGAGGUAUGGCCGGCACGUCGGUAUGCCAAGGUGACACCGGGCGUUUCUUGCGAGAGUCGCCAUCAACCAGGAACACCGACGGUGAUCGAGUUUGUCAUAGUAGCGGCAGUUAAAUCUGCUAAAACCUCCAAGUGAUGGUAGACUCUUUUGAACUCGAUCUCAGGACGGAGUAAGACUCGACGUUGAGGGAGCUCUUGCUUUUGGGUUUAUUGGCAGAACUAGGCUCGAUGCCGUGCUAAAAGGGGGCCUCUACGCUGAAGAAGCAAGACUCGACUUUUGCGGAAGGAGGUGUUCUCAAAGAACGAGACUCGAAUCGGGGGAUUACGAUUUCUUUAUGGUGCCUGGAUAUCGGCCGUGCUGGCCGGCAGAGCUUGCACGGGAAAACCUCUUCAGGUAAAGUCGGAAAGUUAGCUUUGAGUGCUUACUGCUUUGAUCGUGGUGAGCAAAGGCUGAUUUUUCUCGGCUCGCGGAGCCCCUUAUAUUCUCUUUCUGUUCUCACUCGACUCCCGAGUACGGACGCCACGUAGCGGUGGCGCCGCGGAACUAGUCGGAGCACGCAAGAGUAAGUAGUGGCGGCUGGGCGAGUGCACCGUCAGGAGCGUACUUGUGGACGCUACAAUUAUACUGAUAAUUAUUUUACCAACAAUGAUAGAAAUAAUUUUUGUUAAUACUUUGACUACUUAAGACAUUAAUUUUUGGUUUAAAAAACAGUUUCAAAUAGUCAUUGUAAUGUCAAUGAAUAAAAAAUUUUAUUUUGAGUAUUAAUUUUUUGAAUGUGUUGCGAGUGGCGAAGACCACUGUUGACUUAAUGUAACAAUUAAUUAUCAUAAUAAAAAAGUGGCCUAUAUUACACAAUCAAUAUCGGUAACGUUAACACAGCGACACGGUGACCGAUAUUGGGAACACCGAGCAGCAACCCCUUUAGGAGAAGCUGCAAAUUCAGCAAAACCAAGUCGGCCAGAGCUCUGAUAAAAAGAAAGCCGCUGAAGGAUGAAGCGGACUCAGUUACCAGACACGCUGGAGUAUUGCGUUGCGCUCGAAUAUAGUAAAAUCGCUAUUGUUGUAAAACGCGCUAACUUUAAUAGGAGAGAAGUAAGCGAGAAAUAUUGUAAACCAGAACAAAUAAAGCUUUAUUAACAACAA
Solenopsis invicta (red fire ant) is the source of this 6466-nucleotide long non-coding RNA. RefSeq lists it as uncharacterized. NCBI's taxonomy places the organism in Eukaryota, Metazoa, Arthropoda, Insecta, Hymenoptera, Formicidae. The record is from RefSeq and is a predicted model, not a curated record. The transcript is spliced from 2 exons.